UUUCCGUAGGUGAACCUGCGGAAGGAUCAUUGUCGAAACCUGCAAGGCAGAACGACCCGUGAAUCGGUAAAAACUAACUCGGGUGGCAGGCCUCAAGGUUUGUCACCCGAAGUCCCAAGGCAUUGGUUGCGGGUAAAACUGCAGCCUCUGUUGAGGGGCAAAAAACAACAAACCCCGGCGCAGAUCGCGCCAAGGAACCAUAAAAAGAUGUGUGCUCCCCAAGUCUCGGAAACGAUGCCUUGUGGGAUGCGUCGUCGUUAUCAGAACUGAAACGACUCUCGGCAACGGAUAUCUCGGCUCUCGCAUCGAUGAAGAACGUAGCGAAAUGCGAUACUUGGUGUGAAUUGCAGAAUCCCGUGAACCAUCGAGUUUUUGAACGCAAGUUGCGCCCGAAGCCGUCAGGCCGAGGGCACGUCUGCCUGGGUGUCAUGAAACGUUGCCAAAUUUCCCUUCACCCACUUUGCUUUAGAAGAUGGGAUAAAUGAGGGAUGGCGGAUGUUGGCCUCCCGUGAGCUCAUGUUUGCGGUUGGCCCAAAAGAAAGUCCCUGGCGCGGCAGCCACGACAUGCGGUGGUUGGCAGCACACGCUCCACGAACACCGUCGUGUGCAGGCCUGGUCAAUGGGGACGUGCAGACCCUGAGACAAAGUGUCUCUCCAUAACGCGGACCCCAGGUCAGGCGGGAACACCCGCUGAGUUUAAG
This 701-nucleotide ribosomal RNA is filed under the name Polycardia phyllanthoides. Its description in RNAcentral is "eukaryotic LSU rRNA". The stretch from base 274 to 429 matches the Rfam family "5.8S ribosomal RNA". The record is from RNAcentral. Lineage: Eukaryota; Viridiplantae; Streptophyta; Magnoliopsida; Celastrales; Celastraceae.